AACUCUCCCACAGGCGACGCUUCAGACGUCAACGGUGAUCCGUGGAGUGCAUUACAAAAGAACUUCGUCUACGUGUGGAGUAAAUUGAGUCUCACGUCCUUGUUUCUCUCUUGUUUGUAUGCUUUAGAUAGUACAGCUGUACCGAUGCUUGUACUGAUGUGUGGAGGCUUGUUUGAUAGAUAGAAUGUACCCUAUUUCCGCAAAUAGUGCCCUAUGCUCAAAUUGUGCCCCAUGCUCAAAUUAUGUUCCAUGGUGACCCUAUAACGAAAUAAUGCUUCAUGCUCGAUUAGUGCGUUAUGGGGUAGUAUUCAAGCCCAGUUAUCAUGCAUUCGUGUCUUUCUAUGUGUACGUUUGAGAUGAAAUGAACACCCAUGCAGAUAGAAUCACAGACUGACGAUGAAGAUUCAACGUAUGCAACAGACUAGGAAUACGACUCAAGUGAAGCGAAAGCAUCAAGGAUACAUACCAUGUGCUGAUGGUGCGUUUGGCAUGCUACAGGAAGAGAACAAGCAACUGAAAGAAAGAUUGCUGAUCUCUCACACUCGUGUGCACAAUCCAAAGUCGAGAACACAAGGUUACAGGAGGAAAGCAAACGACUGUCGUUGAAAGUGCAUGAGCUAGUGAAGGAGUUGAGCAUAAAGGAGGCCGAAUGGUGUGAAAAGAAAGAAAAAUUGAAACUAAAGCAGUUGCAAAUGAGUUGGGGAGAGCGUUAUCAUGAGUGGAUGCGUCAAACUGAGCUCAAAAUUCAAGAACUACAACAAACCAACUUUUCUUACGUAAAACGGUUUGCAAGAGCUCUGAAUGUGGCCAAAUUGACAAAAAUGAAGAAACUUGCUAAUAAUGUGUGAUCAAAUCGAGUUACUUCCGUGUGCCAGUGCCAUUGAAGUACAUGCACAUUUUUCCACAUGUUGUGUGCAAUUGGAACUUCUGUUUUGGUUGUCGAUGAUGCUAUGAAGCUAUAGAACAGUUAAGACCUUUUUAUUAAAAUGCUGAGACUUUUUGUUAUUUUUGUCAUUUAGUCAGAUCUAUUGUAUUGGCUUGUAGUAGUAUAGGCUGCUAGACCUACUGGCUCUAAGCCUCUGUUUCAGAUCGAGAACUAUGCCACUCAGUGUUCGAGGCCUAUACAGUGACAUGGCUGUAUUAGU
Molecule: long non-coding RNA, 1145 nt
Organism: Corticium candelabrum
Lineage: Eukaryota; Metazoa; Porifera; Homoscleromorpha; Homosclerophorida; Plakinidae
Exons: 4
Source: RefSeq, a predicted model, not a curated record